GAGAAGGGCGUUUGGUGGAUGCCUUGGCAGUAAGAGGCGAUGAAAGACGUGAUACUCUGCGAUAAGCCAUGGGGAGCUGAGAAUAAGCUUUGAUCCAUGGAUUUCCGAAUGGGGCAACCCACCUGACAGUUUCAUAUUGUUGCGCAAGCACUCAAUAUGUCGCUGAAACAGGUACUUUUAACCUGAAUACAUAGGGUUUUAAGAGCAAACCCGGGGAACUGAAACAUCUAAGUACCCAUAGGAAGAGAAAGAAAAAUCGAUUCCCUUAGUAGCGGCGAGCGAACGGGGAACAGCCCAAACCGAGAAGCUUGCUUUUCGGGGUUGUAGGACUGGACAUUUGAGUUACCAAGAAACGAAGUAGUUGAAUGAUUUGGGAAAAUCAGCCAAAGAAGGUGAAAGCCCUGUAAAUGAAACUUCGUUUCCUCAGUCCAGGAUCCUGAGUACGGCGGAACACGUGAAACUCCGUCGGAAUCCGGGAGGACCAUCUCCCAAGGCUAAAUACUCUCUAGUGACCGAUAGUGAACCAGUACCGUGAGGGAAAGGUGAAAAGCACCCCGGAAGGGGAGUGAAAAAGUUCCUGAAACCAUGUGCCUACAAGUAGUUAGAGCCCGUUAAUGGGUGAUAGCGUGCCUUUUGUAGAAUGAACCGGCGAGUUAUGUUAGC
This 663-nucleotide ribosomal RNA is filed under the name Chaetoceros curvisetus. Its description in RNAcentral is "partial Bacterial large subunit ribosomal RNA". It matches the Rfam family "Bacterial large subunit ribosomal RNA", at positions 1 to 637 of the family's 2925-position model. Lineage: Eukaryota; Bacillariophyta; Thalassiosirophyceae; Chaetocerotales; Chaetocerotaceae. The record is from RNAcentral.